RNAcentral lists this transfer RNA (74 nucleotides) under Nanoarchaeum equitans Kin4-M. RNAcentral's name for it is "tRNA-Trp (CCA) (tRNA-Trp-CCA-1-1)". It matches the Rfam family "tRNA". From Rfam's summary of the family: Transfer RNA (tRNA) molecules are approximately 80 nucleotides in length. Their secondary structure includes four short double-helical elements and three loops (D, anti-codon, and T loops). Lineage: Archaea; Nanobdellati; Nanobdellota; Candidatus Nanoarchaeia; Nanoarchaeales; Nanoarchaeaceae. The record is from RNAcentral.
GGGGCCGUAGCUCAGCCAGGCAGAGCGGCGGGCUCCAGACCCGUAGGUCGGGGGUUCGAAUCCCCCCGGCCCCA